CUUCCAAGCCUAAGAUUGUGUUUGGAACUAAGGGCUCCAGUUCUGAUUCUUACAUUAAAAAUAAAGCAUAUGGAGAUUUCCUUCACAAAGCUUUUAACGUCUCAACUGCCGAUCAAGAAAGCGCUGCUGUAGCUUGGACAUCUUUAUCAAAUGAAAAGCCUUUCAUCGUGAUACGAGGUGCUUCCAAUGUAGCAGGUGAAGCAAGUUCAGGAUCGCAAAUUAGCUACUUGGCCUCCUACAAUGCUUUCCUUGCCGCAGCCAAGAUCAUUGAGUCAAUUCCCACGCCACGUCUGGCUUGUGAGUGAUGAGAUUAUGUAUCUGCUUCUGGGUCGUUUGAGUGCUAUGAAAGAGAUUGAUGACCGAUUGCACUCAAAUGAACUGAACUGUGUUUGGCCUACUAAAUUAAAUAAACUCGAAUAAAAAUGCUAUGAACUUUCUCCAUUA
Molecule: long non-coding RNA, 444 nt
Organism: Populus euphratica (Euphrates poplar)
Lineage: Eukaryota; Viridiplantae; Streptophyta; Magnoliopsida; Malpighiales; Salicaceae
Exons: 2
Source: RefSeq, a predicted model, not a curated record